CCUGCGGCAAAGUGCAAGGUGAACGCGCCCUGGGCUCCAGCAACGAAGGGGAAACAGCCGCGCGCUCUACGCCAAAGGAGACUGCACAGAAAGGGGUCCCCGCCCAUGCAAGCGAGGAGAAUGGGGGAAGGGUAAAGCGGAGGCGUGGAUCUCAAAGAUCUGGAAGAAGUUUCAGAUUGCCUUUGAAGCAGGUGCAAAGAUCCUGAGGCUGGCACACAAAGUAUUGGAGGCAGAGGGAGGAGACAGGUGAACCUGGAGCUGAGGGAGGGAGGUGCUGGCAGGGACGGCAGCGGAACAAGACCACCACUUUCUGGGAGGAGUUGAGAGUUAUUCCAAGAACAAUAGGUAGCCAUAAGAAAGUGUGGAUCUGCUAGGAAUGGCCAUGUGGGGAACUGGUGUUGGAGCUCAGAAGAGAUGCCCCAAAGCAUAUCUGGAAUGCUGAGUUCUUUGCACUAAAGGAGAUUGGAAGGCCUCAGAAGCAAAGUCUCAGACCUUUUGCCCAAUCUCCCUCUUUCUCUCUGGACAAGUGUCAUAGAAAGCAGAAUUCCUCUUUCCCAAAGCACGUGAUAGAACUAGAACCCUGCUCCUCUAAAGCAAAGCCAUUAAGCCAAAAGAUCGAGCUAGAGGUGUGGCUGGGUGGUACAGUGCCUGCCUGGCUGCUUCAGGCUCUGGUUUCAACUCCAGCAUGCAGGGGAGGGGCUUAGAUCACUCUUCUCCCUCUAACUAGAAGACCCUCUUUCUAGAAGCGUCCUGCCCAUACAGAGACCGAGAAGAAUGUGAACAGAGGUCUUGCUGGGGUUCACCCCUCUGUAGCUUGCCAUUUUGUCCAAUCACGUUUCUAC
This 842-nucleotide long non-coding RNA is filed under the name Marmota monax (woodchuck). The record is from RNAcentral. Lineage: Eukaryota; Metazoa; Chordata; Mammalia; Rodentia; Sciuridae.